RNAcentral lists this transfer RNA (145 nucleotides) under Neofusicoccum parvum UCRNP2. Its description in RNAcentral is "tRNA-Und (NNN) (tRNA-Und-NNN-5-1)". Lineage: Eukaryota; Fungi; Ascomycota; Dothideomycetes; Botryosphaeriales; Botryosphaeriaceae. The record is from RNAcentral.
GGGGGCGUGGCGCAACGGUAGCGGUAAGUUCCCAAUGACUCGACAAGGAAAAGAAAUCCAACGUACUAAUUCCCCUCAUAGCGUCAGAUUCCAGAUCCAACUUGGAAUGUCCUGAAGGCUGUGCGUUCAAAUCGCACCGUCCUCA